ACGGGUGAGUAAUAUAUCGGAACGUGCCCAGUUGUGGGGGAUAGCCCGGCGAAAGCCGGAUUAAUACCGCAUACGACCUGAGGGUGAAAGCGGGGGAUCGCAAGACCUCGCGCAAUUGGAGCGGCCGAUAUCAGAUUAGCUAGUUGGUGGGGUAAAGGCCUACCAAGGCGACGAUCUGUAGCUGGUCUGAGAGGACGACCAGCCACACUGGGACUGAGACACGGCCCAGACUCCUACGGGAGGCAGCAGUGGGGAAUUUUGGACAAUGGGCGCAAGCCUGAUCCAGCCAUGCCGCGUGCGGGAAGAAGGCCUUCGGGUUGUAAACCGCUUUUGUCAGGGAAGAAACGGUCUGAUCUAAUAAAUUGGACUAAUGACGGUACCUGAAGAAUAAGCACCGGCUAACUACGUGCCAGCAGCCGCGGUAAUACGUAGGGUGCAAGCGUUAAUCGGAAUUACUGGGCGUAAAGCGUGCGCAGGCGGCUAUGCAAGACAGAUGUGAAAUCCCCGGGCUCAACCUGGGAACUGCAUUUGUGACUGCAUGGCUAGAGUACGGUAGAGGGGGAUGGAAUUCCGCGUGU
Molecule: ribosomal RNA, 578 nt
Filed under: proteobacterium StTD429
Lineage: Bacteria; Pseudomonadati; Pseudomonadota
Description: bacterial SSU rRNA
Rfam family: Bacterial small subunit ribosomal RNA
Source: RNAcentral